UAAAAUUGCGUCUCUAUUCUGUCUAAAGCGCCUUUCGCAUGUGAAGCUUGCUCUGCCUAGAAGCCUUCGAAAUUAUUGAGGAACGUGACAUCUGCGCAUAUUUUUCCGAUAGUCCGACAUGACGAGGUUGAAGAGCAUCGGUGACACGACUGACCCUUGCGGUGUGCCAGUGCUGCUCAUGUCCACCUGGAUACUCUCCUCGUUCAGCCUGAUUCUGGCUGCUCUUCCAGUUAGGAAACAACCAUGCUUUUAGCGAGCACCCUGGCCGUGAUGUUGGGUCUCGGAGCACAAGUUACCGCUACGACCAAAAAUGACAGCAAAGGGUGUGACUUCUCCGGCAUAGACGUGGACCCCUUUAUGACAAGAAUUCUUGCUCUGUUACCUUCAAACUACUCCAUCAAGCCCGCCGACUUUAGGCCGUUCAUCCCUGGACUUGAGAUCGGCAGCCUGAGACUGAGUGGCUUCGAUAAAAUCCUCCGUUACGGGCCGUUGGUUCCUUACUGCGUGGACGGUAGGCACAUGGUGCAAGUGGACCUGAUCAACAACGGUGACGUCAGCAUGAUUUCGCGCUGGAAAUCAUGCUCCGGGCGCGAAGGGGACAUUCGAUUCCGCAACUCAUUCUCACGUUUUACUGUUCAGUUCCACGUGCUCACUCAUCCCACCGUGCGGGCCUUUUCAUUCGACUUUGAGGAUGCAGUAGUUCCCGUUAGUUCGGGUUAUCCUUAUCUUGUAAUCGAAGGCGCAGGUGAGGGCGUAAGCACAGCAAGUAGAUGGCUCAGCAAAAUUUUCCCCGCUGAGGUUACGAAGGUGUGGACCGAUAACUUCCGUACGCACUUCGCUUCCGCUUUGCGCGAAGCUGUGCGCGCUAUCUUUUCGGGAGGGCCUAGGCCUGUGCUUUACUACGAACGACUCCAUUAAUGUCGUGAAGGAGAGUUCUUUACUUGCAUUGUACGGAAUACAGUAGUCCUUCCGCCCAAGUGGCCUGUUGUCUGUGUUCUUUCCAUUGUCCAUAUAUAUUGUAUUAAAAACAACCUAUUGAAUCUUGGUUUUACCUCAAGGAGGGGGGGUUUGCUGUCAGACAGGUGUUGAUUUCUGAGGAGUGCAAUCCUUAUUCUAUAAAUUAUAGCCUUCGCCAACCUGACUAUAGUAUUCUACAUGUGACUAAAACUGGUUCAGUGGAAUCGCAUUUAUGCUUUUCUCAAAGACACGGGCAUGUUUGCAAAGCUCAGUGAGGGUCAUUCGUCUUUAUUUGUCGUUCUUGAAGUAAAUCAUUCGUCAGGUACGCAGUGAGGUGAAUGCAGGAAUAGAAGUUGGUAAAGCACUUUAAACACCGACGUUUUUCGAAAUAUUUUUGUGUAUAUGAUGGAAGUAGAUACAUGUUCUUACAGCCAAAUAAUUUUGUGGGUUUGGCGGCGUGGAAUGAGGACCAUUGCUAUUUAUAUUGUGGAGCAGUGGCUUAAAGGGCAACUCACCUCUAAUAUACUGGAAAAAUGACUGAAAAAAAUUGGUUGGUUGCUUUCUCAUAGCAAUAACACUUAGAAGCAUUGGAAGCUACGUUGCAGCAUUGUGUUGAUUACGGUGAUGAUUUUCGUAGUACGGCGCAUAGGCACAAUCGGGGAUUGCACAUGGAUUGAGCGGUAUAUUUAAAAUACUUAAGCACAAAUGAGGCAAUAGAUGCCAAUAUCUGACUCGUCACAUUCCAUAGCAGGGUUACAUGAGAGCACCAGCAUGUGCCAGUUUCUUUCACGCCUAAACCCCGAAAACAAUUUGGCCGAUUUACAGCAGUUCAUUAAGCGCUUAACGAAUGUUUCACUUCACACAUAGAUAUGAACAAAAUCAUUACAGUGUCGUAAUAUUUUGAGAUAAUUUCAGGAUAAAUGUUGCCGAACGUUUUAUUGAAUUCUACAAAUUUUUCUGAGUUGGCACUUUAUGUUCCAAAUUUCUGAUUAUAUAUUUUUUCAGGGGGGAUGAGAGCUUUUAUGUGUUCUCUUUGAACCCACAAUUUCCGGAACUUACAGUUUUAUGAUAAUCAAUAAAUGAAAGCGAUCGUUUCAAAAUAAUUUUGCUAC
Dermacentor andersoni is the source of this 2069-nucleotide non-coding RNA. NCBI's taxonomy places the organism in Eukaryota, Metazoa, Arthropoda, Arachnida, Ixodida, Ixodidae. The record is from RefSeq and is a predicted model, not a curated record.